AAACGACUCUCGGCAACGGAUAUCUCGGCUCACGCAUCGAUGAAGAACGUAGCAAAAUGCGAUACUUGGUGUGAAUUGCAGAAUCCCGUGAACCAUCGAGUUUUUGAACGCAAGUUGCGCCCGAAGCCAUCCGGUUGAGGGCACGUCUGCCUGGGCGUCACGCU
RNAcentral lists this ribosomal RNA (164 nucleotides) under Chaetymenia peduncularis. RNAcentral describes it as "5.8S ribosomal RNA". It matches the Rfam family "5.8S ribosomal RNA". From Rfam's summary of the family: 5.8S ribosomal RNA (5.8S rRNA) is a component of the large subunit of the eukaryotic ribosome. The record is from RNAcentral. Lineage: Eukaryota; Viridiplantae; Streptophyta; Magnoliopsida; Asterales; Asteraceae.